UACGGGGGGGGCAAGCGUUGUUCGGAAUUACUGGGCGUAAAGGGCUCGUAGGCGGCCAACUAAGUCAGACGUGAAAUCCCUCGGCUUAACCGGGGAACUGCGUCUGAUACUGGUUGGCUUGAAUCCGGGAGAGGGAUGUGGAAUUCCAGGUGUAGCGGUGAAAUGCGUAGAUAUCUGGAGGAACACCGGUGGCGAAGGCUGCAUCCUGGACCGGUAUUGACGCUGAGGAGCGAAAGCCAGGGGAGCAAACGGG
Molecule: ribosomal RNA, 253 nt
Filed under: uncultured bacterium
Lineage: Bacteria
Description: partial 16S ribosomal RNA
Rfam family: Bacterial small subunit ribosomal RNA
Source: RNAcentral